Molecule: ribosomal RNA, 484 nt
Filed under: uncultured bacterium
Lineage: Bacteria
Description: partial 16S ribosomal RNA
Rfam family: Bacterial small subunit ribosomal RNA
Source: RNAcentral
AUUGAACGCUAGCGGGAUGCUUUACACAUGCAAGUCGAACGGCAGCGCGGACUUCGGUCUGGCGGCGAGUGGCGAACGGGUGAGUAAUGUAUCGGAACGUGCCCAGUAGCGGGGGAUAACUACGCGAAAGCGUAGCUAAUACCGCAUACGCCCUACGGGGGAAAGCAGGGGAUCGUAAGACCUUGCACUAUUGGAGCGGCCGAUAUCGGAUUAGCUAGUUGGUGAGGUAACGGCUCACCAAGGCGACGAUCCGUAGCUGGUUUGAGAGGACGACCAGCCACACUGGGACUGAGACACGGCCCAGACUCCUACGGGAGGCAGCAGUGGGGAAUUUUGGACAAGGGGGGCAACCCGGAUCCAGCCAUCCCGCGUGUGGGAUGAAGGCCUUCGGGUUGUAAAGCACUGUUGGCAGGAAAGAAACGUCGCGGGCUAAUACACCGUGGAACUGACGGUACCUGCAGAAUAAGCACCGGCUAACUACGUG